UACGUAGGGUGCAAGCGUUGUCCGGAUUUAUUGGGCGUAAAGAGCUCGUAGGCGGUCUGUCGCGUCGGAUGUGAAAACCCAGGGCUCAACCCUGGGCCUGCAUUCGAUACGGGCAGACUAGAGUGUGGCAGGGGAGACUGGAAUUCCUGGUGUAGCGGUGAAAUGCGCAGAUAUCGGGAAGAACACCCGUGGCGAAGGCGGCACUCUGGGACGGUACUGACGCUGAGACGCGAAAGCGUGGGGAGCGAACAGG
RNAcentral lists this ribosomal RNA (253 nucleotides) under uncultured bacterium. RNAcentral's name for it is "partial 16S ribosomal RNA". It matches the Rfam family "Bacterial small subunit ribosomal RNA", at positions 524 to 776 of the family's 1533-position model. The record is from RNAcentral.